GACGAACGCUGGCGGCGUGCUUAACACAUGCAAGUCGAACGGAAAGGCCCUGCUUUUGUGGGGUGCUCGAGUGGCGAACGGGUGAGUAACACGUGAGUAACCUGCCCUUGACUUUGGGAUAACUUCAGGAAACUGGGGCUAAUACCGGAUAGGAGCUCCUGCUGCAUGGUGGGGGUUGGAAAGUUUCGGCGGUUGGGGAUGGACUCGCGGCUUAUCAGCUUGUUGGUGGGGUAGUGGCUUACCAAGGCUUUGACGGGUAGCCGGCCUGAGAGGGUGACCGGCCACAUUGGGACUGAGAUACGGCCCAGACUCCUACGGGAGGCAGCAGUGGGGAAUAUUGCACAAUGGGCGGAAGCCUGAUGCAGCAACGCCGCGUGCGGGAUGACGGCCUUCGGGUUGUAAACCGCUUUCGCCUGUGACGAAGCGUGAGUGACGGUAAUGGGUAAAGAAGCACCGGCUAACUACGUGCCAGCAGCCGCGGUGAUACGUAGGGUGCGAGCGUUGUCCGGAUUUAUUGGGCGUAAAGGGCUCGUAGGUGGUUGAUCGCGUCGGAAGUGUAAUCUUGGGGCUUAACCCUGAGCGUGCUUUCGAUACGGGUUGACUUGAGGAAGGUAGGGGAGAAUGGAAUUCCUGGUGGAGCGGUGGAAUGCGCAGAUAUCAGGAGGAACACCAGUGGCGAAGGCGGUUCUCUGGGCCUUUCCUGACGCUGAGGAGCGAAAGCGUGGGGAGCGAACAGGCUUAGAUGCCCUGGUAGUCCACGCUGUAAACGGUGGGUACUAGGUGUGGGGUCCAUUCCACGGGUUCCGUGCCGUAGCUAACGCUUUAAGUACCCCGCCUGGGGAGUACGGCCGCAAGGCUAAAACUCAAAGGAAUUGACGAGGCCCCGCACAAGCGGCGGAGCAUGCGGAUUAAUUCGAUGCAACGCGUAGAACCUUACCUGGGUUUGACAUGGAUCGGGAGUGCUCAGAGAUGGGUGUGCCUCUUUUGGGGUCGGUUCACAGGUGGUGCAUGGCUGUCGCCAGCUCGUGUCGUGAGAUGUUGGGUUAAGUCCCGCAACGAGCGCAACCCUUGUUCACUGUUGCCAGCACGUUAUGGUGGGGACUCAGUGGAGACCGCCGGGGUCAACUCGGAGGAAGGUGGGGAUGACGUCAAGUCAUCAUGCCCCUUAUGUCCAGGGCUUCACGCAUGCUACAAUGGCUGGUACAGAGAGUGGCGAGCCUGUGAGGGUGAGCGAAUCUCGGAAAGCCGGUCUCAGUUCGGAUUGGGGUCUGCAACUCGACCUCAUGAAGUCGGAGUCGCUAGUAAUCGCAGAUCAGCAACGCUGCGGUGAAUACGUUCCCGGGGAA
Molecule: ribosomal RNA, 1346 nt
Filed under: uncultured bacterium
Lineage: Bacteria
Description: partial 16S ribosomal RNA
Rfam family: Bacterial small subunit ribosomal RNA
Source: RNAcentral